This 344-nucleotide ribosomal RNA is filed under the name uncultured bacterium. RNAcentral describes it as "bacterial SSU rRNA". It matches the Rfam family "Bacterial small subunit ribosomal RNA", at positions 8 to 334 of the family's 1533-position model. The record is from RNAcentral.
AGGGUUUGAUUCUGGCUCAGGAUGAACGCUGGCGGCGUGCCUAACACAUGCAAGGCGAACGGAGUUAUUUUGGAAAUCUCUUCGGAGAUGGAAUUCUUAACUUAGUGGCGGACGGGUGAGUAACCCGUGAGCAAUCUGCCUCGGAGUGGAGGAUAACAGUCGGAAACGACUGCUAAUACCGCAUAAUGCAUCGGAACCGCAUGAUUUUGAUGCCAAAGGCUUGUCUGCUCUGAGAUGAGCUCGCGUCUGAUUAGCUAGUUGGCGGGGUAGCGGCCCACCAAGGCGACGAUCAGUAGCCGGACUGAGAGGUUGAACGGCCACAUUGGGACUGAGACACGGCCCAG